CCUUAGAGUUUGAUCCUGGCUCAGGAUGACCUUUGGCGGCGUGCUUAACACAUGCAAGUCGAACGGAGUACCCUUGAAGGAGUUUUCGGACAACUGAAAGGACUACUUAGUGGCGGACGGGUGAGUAACGCGUGAGUAACCUGCCUUGGAGUGGGGAAUAACAGCUGGAAACAGCUGCUAAUACCGCAUGAUGCAGUUGAGUCGCAUGGCUCUGACUGCCAAAGAUUUAUCGCUCUGAGAUGGACUCGCGUCUGAUUAGCUAGUUGGUGGGGCAACGGCCCACCAAGGCGACGAUCAGUAGCCGGACUGAGAGGUUGGCCGGCCACAUUGGGACUGAGACACGGCCCAGACUCCUACGGGAGGCAGCAGUGGGGAAUAUUGGGCAAUGGGCGCAAGCCUGACCCAGCAACGCCGCGUGAAGGAAGAAGGCUUUCGGGUUGUAAACUUCUUUUCUCAGGGACGAAGCAAGUGACGGUACCUGAGGAAUAAGCCACGGCUAACUACGUGCCAGCAGCCGCGGUAAUACGUAGGUGGCAAGCGUUAUCCGGAUUUACUGGGUGUAAAGGGCGUGUAGGCGGGGACGCAAGUCAGAUGUGAAAACCACGGGCUCAACCUGUGGCCUGCAUUUGAAACUGUGUUUCUUGAGUACUGGAGAGGCAGACGGAAUUCCUAGUGUAGCGGUGAAAUGCGUAGAUAUUAGGAGGAACACCAGUGGCGAAGGCGGUCUGCUGGACAGCAACUGACGCUGAGGCGCGAAGGCGUGGGGAGCAAACAGGAUUAGAUACCCUGGUAGUCCACGCUGUAAACGAUGGAUACUAGGUGUGGGGGGACUGACCCCCUCCGUGCCGCAGUUAACACAAUAAGUAUCCCACCUGGGGAGUACGAUCGCAAGGUUGAAACUCAAAGGAAUUGACGGGGGCCCGCACAAGCGGUGGAGUACGUGGUUUAAUUCGAAGCAACGCGAAGAACCUUACCAGGGCUUGACAUCCUGCUGACCGGCAUAGAGAUAUGCUUUUCUCUUCGGAGACAGCGGUGACAGGUGGUGCAUGGUUGUCGUCAGCUUGUGUCGUGAGAUGUUGGGUGUAAGUCCCGCAACGAGCGCAACCCUUAUUGUUAGUUGUUAUGCAAGAGCACUCUAGCGAGACUCCCGUCGACAAAACGGAGGAAGGUGGGGACGUCGUCAAAUCAUCAUUCCCCUUAUGUCAGUGGGCCACACACGUACUACAAUGGUGGUUAACAGAGGGAAGCAAUCCCGCGAGGUGGAGCAAAUCCGUAAAAGCCAUCCCAGUUCGGAU
This 1295-nucleotide ribosomal RNA is filed under the name uncultured bacterium. Its description in RNAcentral is "bacterial SSU rRNA". It matches the Rfam family "Bacterial small subunit ribosomal RNA", at positions 1 to 1298 of the family's 1533-position model. The record is from RNAcentral.